RNAcentral lists this ribosomal RNA (656 nucleotides) under uncultured bacterium. RNAcentral's name for it is "bacterial SSU rRNA". It matches the Rfam family "Bacterial small subunit ribosomal RNA", at positions 56 to 732 of the family's 1533-position model. The record is from RNAcentral.
UGCAAGUCGAACGUGAAGCUGGAGCUUGCUCCAGUGGAAAGUGGCAGACGGGUGAGUAACGCGUGGGAAUUUACCCAGUGGUUCGGAAUAACUUCGGGAAACGGGAGCUAAUACCGGAUACGCCCCCCUUUAGAGAUAUUGGGGGGGAAAGAUUUAUCGCCAUUGGAUGAGCCCGCGUCGGAUUAGCUUGUUGGUGAGGUAAAAGCUCACCAAGGCGACGAUCCGUAGCUGGUCUGAGAGGAUGAUCAGCCACACUGGGACUGAGACACGGCCCAGACUCCUACGGGAGGCAGCAGUGGGGAAUAUUGCACAAUGGGCGCAAGCCUGAUGCAGCCAUGCCGCGUGAGUGAUGAAGGCCUUAGGGUUGUAAAACUCUUUCGCCAGGGAAGAUAAUGACGGUACCUGGUAAAGAAGCCCCGGCCAACUCCGUGCCAGCAGCCGCGGUAAUACGGAGGGGGCUAGCGUUGUUCGGAAUUACUGGGCGUAAAGCGCGCGUAGGCGGGCUGGUCAGUUGGGGGUGAAAUCCCGAGGCUUAACCUCGGAACUGCCCUCAAUACUGCCAGUCUUGAGUUCGAGAGAGGUGAGUGGAAUUCCUAGUGUAGAGGUGAAAUUCGUAGAUAUUAGGAAGAACACCAGUGGCGAAGGCGGCUCACUGG